This 460-nucleotide ribosomal RNA is filed under the name uncultured bacterium. Its description in RNAcentral is "bacterial SSU rRNA". It matches the Rfam family "Bacterial small subunit ribosomal RNA", at positions 9 to 452 of the family's 1533-position model. The record is from RNAcentral.
GAGUUUGAUCCUGGCUCAGGACGAACGCUGGCGGCGUGCUUAACACAUGCAAGUCGAACGAGGAACUUUAUUUCGGUAAAGUUCCGAGUGGCAAACGGGUGAGUAACGCGUAGGCAACCUGCCAUAGAGAUGGGGACAACAGAGCGAAAGCUCUGCUAAUACCGAAUGAACUGCGAGCUUCACAUGGAGCCUGCAGCAAAGAUGGCCUCUAUUUAUAAGCUAUCGCUCUAUGAUGGGCCUGCGUCUGAUUAGCCAGUUGGUGAGGUAACGGCUCACCAAAGCGACGAUCAGUAGCCGGUCUGAGAGGAUGAACGGCCACAUUGGGACUGAGACACGGCCCAAACUCCUACGGGAGGCAGCAGUGGGGAAUCUUCCACAAUGGACGAAAGUCUGAUGGAGCAACGCCGCGUGAGUGAACAAGGUCUUCGGAUCGUAAAGCUCUGUUGUCGGGGACGAAUGU